Lolium perenne is the source of this 550-nucleotide non-coding RNA. The record is from RefSeq and is a predicted model, not a curated record. Lineage: Eukaryota; Viridiplantae; Streptophyta; Magnoliopsida; Poales; Poaceae.
UUAUGUGGUUGACAUGUGGCAUGCAUCUGUGGUUUUCUUGAAGCAUGUUUUGAAAGCUUGCAGAUUUAUUUCUUUAUAGCAUGUUUCAAAAUAUGAGGGUAAUUUUGCAGCGAAUUUUCUUUUUCUCUGUCCCAUUGAUUCAGAAUGCUACAAAUGUAAGGGUAAUUCUGCUUCUACUAAUAUGUGUAUGUUGUUAAUGUUUGAUGUGAGCAAGGAAAAUUGGGUGCAGAGGUGAUUGUCUGAUCUUUGUGCAUGUGCUGAGAUGCUCCAUUGAAGUUGUUCUUUAAUGAAAUCUUGUUGUAGUUAAAUUUGCAUUAGAAAAACAUAGAAGUGUAUGUAGAGAUGCACAUGUACAAUAGCUGACCAGUGACCACGAUAGCUAACCAAUUUUUUUCAAUGUACAAAUGGCUCAGUGAUAGCAAUCAGCAGCCCAUGGUUAGUUGCAUAGGAAAAGCUAGGGUUUAGAGUUAGUGGAUUCCAUGGUUGGUUGCAGCCUACAGGUCUAGGAAAGAAGAGGUCAAGUCUUGGCGACCUUUUAUCUGACGCCCCA